RNAcentral lists this ribosomal RNA (463 nucleotides) under uncultured bacterium. Its description in RNAcentral is "partial 16S ribosomal RNA". It matches the Rfam family "Bacterial small subunit ribosomal RNA", at positions 339 to 795 of the family's 1533-position model. The record is from RNAcentral.
CUACGGGGGGCUGCAGUGGGGAAUAUUGCACAAUGGGCGCAAGCCUGAUGCAGCCAUGCCGCGUGUAUGAAGAAGGCCUUCGGGUUGUAAAGUACUUUCAGCGGGGAGGAAGGGAGUAAAGUUAAUACCUUUGCUCAUUGACGUUACCCGCAGAAGAAGCACCGGCUAACUCCGUGCCAGCAGCCGCGGUAAUACGGAGGGUGCAAGCGUAAUCGGAAUUACUGGGCGUAAAGCGCACGCAGGCGGUUUGUUAAGUCAGAUGUGAAAUCCCCGGGCUCAACCUGGGAACUGCAUCUGAUACUGGCAAGCAUGAGUCUCGUAGAGGGGGGUAGAAUUCCAGGUGUAGCGGUGAUAUGCGUAGAGAUCUGGAGGAAUACCGGUGGCGAAGGCGGCCCCCUGGAAGAAGACUGACGCUCAGGUGCGAAAGCGUGGGGAGCAAACAGGAUUAGAUACCCUGGUAGUC